UACGUAGGGGCCGAGCGUUGUCCGGAGUUAUUGGGCGUAAAGCGCGCGCAGGCGGCCUCGCGCGCCCGACGUGAAAGCCCCCGGCUUAACCGGGGAGGGUCGUUGGGGACGGCGGGGCUUGAGGGCGGGAGAGGGUGGUGGAAUUCCGCGUGUAGCAGUGAAAUGCGUAGAGAUGCGGAGGAACACCGAUGGCGAAGGCAGCCCCCUGGGCCGACAUUGACGCUCAGGCACGAAAGCGUGGGGAGCAAACAGG
RNAcentral lists this ribosomal RNA (253 nucleotides) under uncultured bacterium. RNAcentral describes it as "partial 16S ribosomal RNA". It matches the Rfam family "Bacterial small subunit ribosomal RNA", at positions 524 to 776 of the family's 1533-position model. The record is from RNAcentral.